AUUGAACGCUGGUGGUAGGCUUAACACAUGCAAGUCGAACGGUAACAGGAAUUAGCUUGCUACUUAGCUGACGAGUGGCGGACGGGUGAGUGAUGCUUGGCAAUCUGUCUUAUUUAGGGGGAGAUCUACUGGGAACUGUUGCUAAUAUCGCGCAAAAUCUCCGCAUUUAAGAGCGGGACUUUCUCGCCACCUGCCAUAAGGUGAGCCCAAGUGGGAUUAUGUAGUUGGUUAGGUAAAGGCUGACCAAGCCGACGAUCUCUAGCUGGUCUGAGAGGAUGACCAGCCACACUGGAACUGAGACACGGUCCAGACUCCUACGGGAGGCAGCAGUGGGGAAUAUUGCACAAUGGGGGGAACCCUGAUGCAGCCAUGCCGCGUGAAUGAAGAAGGCCUUCGGGUUGUAAAGUUCUUUCGGUGACGAGGAAGGUUGAUAGGUUAAUAGCCUAUCAAAUUGACGUUAAUCACAGAAGAAGCACCGGCUAACUCCGUG
Molecule: ribosomal RNA, 490 nt
Filed under: uncultured bacterium
Lineage: Bacteria
Description: partial 16S ribosomal RNA
Rfam family: Bacterial small subunit ribosomal RNA
Source: RNAcentral